GCCUAGUGGAUCCAACAGAUUUUUACUUUAUAAAACAGAUUUUGCUGUAUUUGUACUUUUUUUUUCAUCUCCCCCUGAGGAGUAUUAACUCAAAGCAAUCACAAGACACCAUCCUUGCCUGCUGCUUCUUGGGCUGCUACUUGUAUCUUCUUCAUUCCUUACUGCUUCUCUAACCAUUUGAAUCCUCUUUUUAAACUGCCUUCUGCUCCUAAAAUGAUAACCCUGUCAUUUGGGAAAGGCUAACCAUGUAAAAGCAUUUUCAUUUCUGUAGCAUUCACUUUCAUUUACUCUCUUCUUUCUGUUCAAGUUAAGCAGUGCAACGUGCUGUAUAAAUAGCAAAGCCUGUACUACAUCCAGUUUUGAAGUAUUUUUAAAAUGAAGUAUUGAAAAAAGAAGAGACAAACUGCAAGGAAAAUGCCAAGCUGCUCCUGAGCCUGAUGACGAUAUACGUAUUUUGUCUUGGUUACCUGAGCAAUCUCCAGAAGCUUGAAUGGAUUACAAUAGUAUUCUAACAAGGCUCCAGGCAUCAUCAACAGCUCUCAUCUACAGAAGAAGAUAAGAGAUGGAAGAAUGUAAUUAUUUCCAUGUAAGCUAAAUUCCAGUAGCUGACUGCCAUGAGAGGAAAGCCCUGAAAACUUUGCUGUCUGAAAUGUUUUAAUCUCCUAUAAGACAAAUAGGUUAGCUCUUCUCUUUAAAUAUUGUCACUGAAGCUUUUCUAAAGGUGGGACAUACAGUUUCUUGGCUUUUAACAGAAAAGUCCCUCUGACACCACGUAUCUGGGAAUGAAGAACUUCUCAGAGCUGAUUGGAAAUGGCAUUGCUGCGCUGAAACUUAACUGGAGGAAAUACAUCUCCCGAAGAAGAGAAUAUAAUGCACUUUAAGGAUCUGACUUCUGGUGAAAAAUUCAAGCCUAGAGAAAACUUGUCCGCUUUAUUAAGAAGAAUGGGUUGGACAAUCUUCUUCAAUUCCAAAAGAUAUCUGUAUGCCAUGCUGAGCUUAAUCUCUGCAGCAUGCUCUCUGCUUUUCUUUUCCUCCUGAUGCACUGCAUGGUUAGCCUGAGGAGAAGGAUAAAGAAACUGGCCACCAAGAUGGUAAUCACUAGUGGAAAUGAAGAAGAUAAAGGCAAUCAAGAAAAGGAGAGCAAAGAAGAAACCAUCCUGGCAAUGCUUGGGAUUAUUGGAACAAUUCUGAACCUCAUUGUGAUCAUUUUUGUGUACAUUUACACAACAUUGUGAGCCAGAAGGCACACGAGAACCAUGGCGACAACAAACAUUGUAGCCUAUUGACAUGUUGCUUAAUCAGAAUUGAUUCUGUACUAUAUUACCACAUCAUAAAAGCUCUGCCUGCAGGCAGCAAAAGCUGAAGCACGAUUAAUUUAACAAGACUUUUUCACGCAGUAACAAGCUAAACUCUUCUGUCCUGCUCCUUUCCUUUUUUAUUUGGGUUUGGUUUUAGAGAAAUGACUGCAAUUAUGUAAGUAGCAGCUUUGAAGAACUCAAUCUCGGAUACAAACACAAUAGAAAGAGACUGAACACUAUUUAGAAUUACUAAUGUAUACUGUAUACUCUUAAAGAUAGCUACAUAGCACCGAUUUUGGGUCCAUUAGGUCAAUUUUUUUUCUCCUUGACUUUUCAAUUUUAUUUACAUUGAAACUGACAGGCUUUUUAUUUAGAAUGAACAUAUGGUGCAAUCAUAGGAAAACAAUUCUGUUGAGCAAGAUCUGCCUAAAAACAACAAAAUGUUGGGGGAAAUAAGUGACUAUUAUUUUUUCUUUCUCAUUUGCUUGACAUUUGUGUCUGUUCAUACCAAUGUUUAUAAAUAUAUAUUUUUAAUAAAUGUGCUAUAUUUUUAGCAUGAACCAAAUAUUUGGAGACA
This is a long non-coding RNA of Dermochelys coriacea (leatherback sea turtle), 1875 nucleotides long. RefSeq lists it as uncharacterized. The record is from RefSeq and is a predicted model, not a curated record. The transcript is spliced from 4 exons. NCBI's taxonomy places the organism in Eukaryota, Metazoa, Chordata, Testudines, Dermochelyidae.